Molecule: long non-coding RNA, 239 nt
Organism: Oryza brachyantha (malo sina)
Lineage: Eukaryota; Viridiplantae; Streptophyta; Magnoliopsida; Poales; Poaceae
Exons: 3
Source: RefSeq, a predicted model, not a curated record
CGUAGGUGGCAGCCAUAGAAAGGCCGAUGAAGGGAGCGUACAGAAGAUGGAGAGAAAAAAGCUAGAAGCUGACGAGGAAGGCGGAAAAAUACAAGGCAGACGCCACCAAGAGGGCAGCCGCGGCCAAAGGCGACAACCUAAGAAGAGCACCAUCUCAACCACCAACAUCAAUCGAUCACACAAACCGCAAAACAAAACUACAAAAGGAAGCCGCAUCUGCGCAAACACGAGGGACCCAU